RNAcentral lists this ribosomal RNA (742 nucleotides) under uncultured bacterium. RNAcentral describes it as "bacterial SSU rRNA". It matches the Rfam family "Bacterial small subunit ribosomal RNA", at positions 8 to 796 of the family's 1533-position model. The record is from RNAcentral.
AGAGUUUGAUCAUGGCUCAGAGCGAACGCUGGCGGCAGGCCUAACACAUGCAAGUCGAACGGAUCCUUCGGGAUUAGUGGCGGACGGGUGAGUAACACGUGGGAACGUGCCCUUUGGUUCGGAACAACUCAGGGAAACUUGAGCUAAUACCGGAUAAGCCCUACGGGGGAAAGAUUUAUCGCCAUUGGAGCGGCCCGCGUCUGAUUAGCUAGUUGGUGAGGUAAAGGCUCACCAAGGCGACGAUCAGUAGCUGGUCUGAGAGGAUGAUCAGCCACAUUGGGACUGAGACACGGCCCAAACUCCUACGGGAGGCAGCAGUGGGGAAUCUUGCGCAAUGGGCGAAAGCCUGACGCAGCCAUGCCGCGUGAAUGAUGAAGGUCUUAGGAUUGUAAAAUUCUUUCAGCAGGGACGAUAAUGACGGUACCUGCAGAAGAAGCCCCGGCUAACUUCGUGCCAGCAGCCGCGGUAAUACGAAGGGGGCUAGCGUUGCUCGGAAUUACUGGGCGUAAAGGGCGCGUAGGCGGGUCGCUAAGUUGGGGGUGAAAGCCCAGGGCUCAACCCUGGAAUUGCCUUCAAUACUGGCGGCCUUGAGUAUGGCAGAGGUGUGUGGAACUCCGAGUGUAGAGGUGAAAUUCGUAGAUAUUCGGAAGAACACCAGUGGCGAAGGCGGCUCACUGGCCCGAUACUGACGCUGAGGUGCGAAAGCGUGGGGAGCAAACAGGAUUAGAUACCCUAGUAGUCC